UACGGGGGGGGCAAGCGUUGUUCGGAAUUACUGGGCGUAAAGGGCUCGUAGGUGGCCAACUAAGUCACACGUGAAAUCCCUCGGCUUAACCGGGGAACUGCGUGUGAUACUGGAUGGCUUGAGUUUGGGAGAGGGAUGCGGAAUUCCAGGUGUAGCGGUGAAAUGCGUAGAUAUCUGGAGGAACACCGGUGGCGAAGGCGGCAUCCUGGACCAAUACUGACGCUGAGGCGCGAAAGCUAGGGGAGCAAACGGG
Molecule: ribosomal RNA, 253 nt
Filed under: uncultured bacterium
Lineage: Bacteria
Description: partial 16S ribosomal RNA
Rfam family: Bacterial small subunit ribosomal RNA
Source: RNAcentral